UACGGAGGAUGCGAGCGUUAUCCGGAUUUAUUGGGUUUAAAGGGUGCGUAGGCGGGACCUUAAGUCAGCGGUAAAAUUGCGGUGCUCAACGCCGUAGAGCCGUUGAAACUGGGGUUCUUGAGUGAGCGAGAAGUAUGCGGAAUGCGUGGUGUGGCGGUGAAAUGCAUAGAUAUCACGCAGAACUCCGAUCGCGAAGGCAGCCUACCGGCGCGCAACUGACGCUCAUGCACGAAAGCGUGGGCAUCGAACAGG
This 252-nucleotide ribosomal RNA is filed under the name uncultured Bacteroidales bacterium. Its description in RNAcentral is "partial 16S ribosomal RNA". It matches the Rfam family "Bacterial small subunit ribosomal RNA", at positions 524 to 776 of the family's 1533-position model. The record is from RNAcentral. Lineage: Bacteria; Pseudomonadati; Bacteroidota; Bacteroidia; Bacteroidales.